GGAAUGUUUUCUGGCUCGAGG
This 21-nucleotide non-coding RNA is filed under the name Gossypium hirsutum (cotton). The record is from RNAcentral. Lineage: Eukaryota; Viridiplantae; Streptophyta; Magnoliopsida; Malvales; Malvaceae.